AGCAGUGGGGAAUAUUGCACAAUGGGGGAACCCCUGAUGCAGCGACGCCGCGUGAGUGAAGAAGUAUCUCGGUACGUAAAGCUCUAUCAGCAGGGAAGAAAAAAAGUCUUUGGCUUUGGACGGUACCUGACUAAGAAGCCCCGGCUAACUACGUGCCAGCAGCCGCGGUAAUACGUAGGGGGCAAGCGUUAUCCGGAUUUACUGGGUGUAAAGGGAGCGUAGACGGCAGCGCAAGUCUGGAGUGAAAUGCCGGGGCUCAACCCCGGAACUGCUUUGGAAACUGUGCAGCUAGAGUGCGGGAGAGGUAAGCGGAAUUCCUAGUGUAGCGGUGAAAUGCGUAGAUAUUAGGAGGAACACCAGUGGCGAAGGCGGCUUGCUGGACCGUAACUGACGUUGAGGCUCGAAAGCGUGGGGAGCAAACAGGAUUAGAUACCCUGGUAGUCCACGCCGUAAACGAUG
RNAcentral lists this ribosomal RNA (459 nucleotides) under uncultured bacterium. RNAcentral describes it as "bacterial SSU rRNA". It matches the Rfam family "Bacterial small subunit ribosomal RNA", at positions 350 to 811 of the family's 1533-position model. The record is from RNAcentral.